AGAUGUCAGCAAAUCACCCGAAGUGGUCUGAGAGGCAGCAGCAGACCUCAGAUCAGCCCUGAUAAGCUGUGGAGGUGACGCCUCAGCAGGAACAUGUGACAGAGCCUGAGACAGCACAAAGCUCAGGAAUCUCUGGUUUUAUUUCAUCCUUUCGCCCUCUAAAAGAGUCUUUAAAGUCUUCUUGUCAUCAUUAAAAACUAAAUUCUCCACUUUGGGUGACUUACGGAACGCGAGCGUCCGUCUGCUGGAGGCCAUGUGUGCAG
Scatophagus argus is the source of this 263-nucleotide long non-coding RNA. RefSeq lists it as uncharacterized. The transcript has 3 exons. The record is from RefSeq and is a predicted model, not a curated record. NCBI's taxonomy places the organism in Eukaryota, Metazoa, Chordata, Actinopteri, Scatophagidae.